UGUCCUUCGGUGUCUCUGCUGGU
This 23-nucleotide microRNA is filed under the name Gallus gallus (chicken). RNAcentral's name for it is "gga-miR-12232-3p". The record is from miRBase by way of RNAcentral. Lineage: Eukaryota; Metazoa; Chordata; Aves; Galliformes; Phasianidae.